RNAcentral lists this ribosomal RNA (2928 nucleotides) under Klebsiella michiganensis. Its description in RNAcentral is "bacterial LSU rRNA". It matches the Rfam family "Bacterial large subunit ribosomal RNA". The record is from RNAcentral. Lineage: Bacteria; Pseudomonadati; Pseudomonadota; Gammaproteobacteria; Enterobacterales; Enterobacteriaceae.
GGGUUGUGAGGUUAAGCGACUAAGCGUACACGGUGGAUGCCCUGGCAGUCAGAGGCGAUGAAGGACGUGCUAAUCUGCGAAAAGCGUCGGUAAGGUGAUAUGAACCGUUACAGCCGGCGAUGUCCGAAUGGGGAAACCCAGUGCAAUUCGUUGCACUAUCGUUUGAUGAAUACAUAGUCAAACGAGGCGAACCGGGGGAACUGAAACAUCUAAGUACCCCGAGGAAAAGAAAUCAACCGAGAUUCCCCCAGUAGCGGCGAGCGAACGGGGAGCAGCCCGGAGUCUGAAUCAGCUUGUGUGUUAGUGGAAGCGUCUGGAAAGUCGCAGGGUACAGGGUGAUACUCCCGUACACUAAAACAUACAGGUUGUGAACUCGAAGAGUAGGGCGGGACACGUGGUAUCCUGUCUGAAUAUGGGGGGACCAUCCUCCAAGGCUAAAUACUCCUGACUGACCGAUAGUGAACCAGUACCGUGAGGGAAAGGCGAAAAGAACCCCGGCGAGGGGAGUGAAAAAGAACCUGAAACCGUGUACGUACAAGCAGUAGGAGCCCACUUGUUGGGUGACUGCGUACCUUUUGUAUAAUGGGUCAGCGACUUAUAUUCUGUAGCAAGGUUAACCGUAUAGGGGAGCCGCAGGGAAACCGAGUCUUAACUGGGCGUUAAGUUGCAGGGUAUAGACCCGAAACCCGGUGAUCUAGCCAUGGGCAGGUUGAAGGUUGGGUAACACUAACUGGAGGACCGAACCGACUAAUGUUGAAAAAUUAGCGGAUGACUUGUGGCUGGGGGUGAAAGGCCAAUCAAACCGGGAGAUAGCUGGUUCUCCCCGAAAGCUAUUUAGGUAGCGCCUCGUGAAUUCAUCUUCGGGGGUAGAGCACUGUUUCGGCUAGGGGGUCAUCCCGACUUACCAACCCGAUGCAAACUACGAAUACCGAAGAAUGUUAUCACGGGAGACACACGGCGGGUGCUAACGUCCGUCGUGAAGAGGGAAACAACCCAGACCGCCAGCUAAGGUCCCAAAGUCAUGGUUAAGUGGGAAACGAUGUGGGAAGGCCCAGACAGCCAGGAUGUUGGCUUAGAAGCAGCCAUCAUUUAAAGAAAGCGUAAUAGCUCACUGGUCGAGUCGGCCUGCGCGGAAGAUGUAACGGGGCUAAACCAUGCACCGAAGCUGCGGCAGCGACGCUUAUGCGUUGUUGGGUAGGGGAGCGUUCUGUAAGCCGUUGAAGGUGGCCUGUGAGGGUUGCUGGAGGUAUCAGAAGUGCGAAUGCUGACAUAAGUAACGAUAAUGCGGGUGAAAAACCCGCACGCCGGAAGACCAAGGGUUCCUGUCCAACGUUAAUCGGGGCAGGGUGAGUCGACCCCUAAGGCGAGGCCGAAAGGCGUAGUCGAUGGGAAACAGGUUAAUAUUCCUGUACUUGGUGUUACUGCGAAGGGGGGACGGAGAAGGCUAUGUUGGCCGGGCGACGGUUGUCCCGGUUUAAGCGUGUAGGUGUGUGUUCCAGGUAAAUCCGGUUCACUUUAACACUGAGGCGUGAUGACGAGGCACUACGGUGCUGAAGUGACAAAUGCCCUGCUUCCAGGAAAAGCCUCUAAGCAUCAGGUAACAUCAAAUCGUACCCCAAACCGACACAGGUGGUCAGGUAGAGAAUACCAAGGCGCUUGAGAGAACUCGGGUGAAGGAACUAGGCAAAAUGGUGCCGUAACUUCGGGAGAAGGCACGCUGAUAUGUAGGUGAAGUGGUUUACCCAUGGAGCUGAAAUCAGUCGAAGAUACCAGCUGGCUGCAACUGUUUAUUAAAAACACAGCACUGUGCAAACACGAAAGUGGACGUAUACGGUGUGACGCCUGCCCGGUGCCGGAAGGUUAAUUGAUGGGGUUAUCCGUAAGGAGAAGCUCUUGAUCGAAGCCCCGGUAAACGGCGGCCGUAACUAUAACGGUCCUAAGGUAGCGAAAUUCCUUGUCGGGUAAGUUCCGACCUGCACGAAUGGCGUAAUGAUGGCCAGGCUGUCUCCACCCGAGACUCAGUGAAAUUGAACUCGCUGUGAAGAUGCAGUGUACCCGCGGCAAGACGGAAAGACCCCGUGAACCUUUACUAUAGCUUGACACUGAACACUGGUCCUUGAUGUGUAGGAUAGGUGGGAGGCUUUGAAGUGUGGACGCCAGUCUGCAUGGAGCCAUCCUUGAAAUACCACCCUUUAAUGGCUGGUGUUCUAACGUGGGCCCCUAAUCGGGGUUGCGGACAGUGUCUGGUGGGUAGUUUGACUGGGGCGGUCUCCUCCUAAAGAGUAACGGAGGAGCACGAAGGUCAGCUAAUCCUGGUCGGACAUCAGGAGGUUAGUGCAAUGGCAUAAGCUGGCUUGACUGCGAGCGUGACGGCGCGAGCAGGUGCGAAAGCAGGUCAUAGUGAUCCGGUGGUUCUGAAUGGAAGGGCCAUCGCUCAACGGAUAAAAGGUACUCCGGGGAUAACAGGCUGAUACCGCCCAAGAGUUCAUAUCGACGGCGGUGUUUGGCACCUCGAUGUCGGCUCAUCACAUCCUGGGGCUGAAGUAGGUCCCAAGGGUAUGGCUGUUCGCCAUUUAAAGUGGUACGCGAGCUGGGUUUAGAACGUCGUGAGACAGUUCGGUCCCUAUCUGCCGUGGGCGCUGGAGAAUUGAGGGGGGCUGCUCCUAGUACGAGAGGACCGGAGUGGACGCAUCACUGGUGUUCGGGUUGUCAUGCCAAUGGCAUUGCCCGGUAGCUAAAUGCGGAAGAGAUAAGUGCUGAAAGCAUCUAAGUACGAAACUUGCCCCGAGAUGAGUUCUCCCUGACUCCUUGAGAGUCCUGAAGGAACGUUGAAGACGACGACGUUGAUAGGCCGGGUGUGUAAGCGCAGCGAUGCGUUGAGCUAACCGGUACUAAUGAACCGUGAGGCUUAACCUUACAACGCCGAAG